This 63-nucleotide transfer RNA is filed under the name Idiophlebotomus longiforceps. RNAcentral's name for it is "tRNA-Ser". The record is from RNAcentral. Lineage: Eukaryota; Metazoa; Arthropoda; Insecta; Diptera; Psychodidae.
AGUUAAUGAGCUUGAUAAGCAUUUGUUUUGAAAACAUAAGAUAGAACUAUAUUCUAUUAACUU